GAUGAACGCUGGCUGUGUGCCUAAUACAUGCAUGUCGAACGAAGCACUUGUGCUUAGUGGCGAAUGGGUGAGUAACACGUACUUAAUCUACCUUUUAGUUUGGGACAACAGUUGGAAACGACUGCUAAUACCGGAUAUGGGAAAGAAUCGCAUGGUUUUUCCUGAAAGGGGCGUUUGCCUCGCUAAUAGAUGAGAGUGCGCUACAUUAGGUAGUUGGUAGGGUAAUGGCCUACCAAGUCUACGAUCUAUAGCUGGUUUUAGAGGAUGAUCAGCAACACUGGGACUGAGACACGGCCCAG
This 299-nucleotide ribosomal RNA is filed under the name uncultured Mycoplasma sp. RNAcentral's name for it is "partial 16S ribosomal RNA". It matches the Rfam family "Bacterial small subunit ribosomal RNA", at positions 28 to 334 of the family's 1533-position model. Lineage: Bacteria; Bacillati; Mycoplasmatota; Mollicutes; Mycoplasmatales; Mycoplasmataceae. The record is from RNAcentral.